UUCAUCUUUCUGAGUAAGUUCGCAGUUUGCUCAUCCAUCCUUACGCUAACGACGACGAUCCUUGUAUGUUAAAGCUCCUUUCUCUCUUUAUCUUUCCGAGUAAGUUCGCAGCUUGCUCUUCCAUCUUUACGCUAACGACGACGAUCCUCGUCUGCAGAAGCAUCUUUAUCCGAUCCUUUAUCUAUCCGAGUAAGAUCGCAGAUUGCUACCUCUUUCAUCCUUACGCUAACGACUAGCAGAGAUCAUACGCAAAAAAUAUCUUUAUGUGGUUCUUCUUCGGGUAGCAACAUCGUUGGGGAUGCAGAAGCUGUUCCUGCAGCUAAUGAUGGCGGUUGUGGCGGAGUCAACAUUCGGCUAUACGAAGGACACGAGACAGAUUAUAUUACCUCGCUGAUUCAAGAUUCAGUUAAGUUGGAAACUCGUGAUAUCCAUACGCUCCUUACUAAUCAUGAGAUGCCGAUAUUACCCGUGAUACCACACCGUCCUCAGCCACCGGCGUUGUUUAUGGUGCCUAACCAGCUUGUUCUUGAUGGUAUUGCGGAUGGCUACAUUUGGCGGAAACGACAAAACGUACGACUCAUGAUUAAUGGUGUGAACGUCAUCAAAUGCUCUGUUUCAUGAGAACACUACAGAAUUCGACCGGAAAAUGUUUCAUAGGAUAUAUAGUCUUAUUAAUGGCCAGGGAGAUCAGUACUGUCUCGUUCAUUACCAUCAUCGUCUAAUCGACCGCCUGAACAACAAAUAAACGAUAACAACUUUGGGAGAAGAAAAUCACAUCACAGCUUCUUGAUUUUUUCUCUCUCUCUCUCUUGGGAUCAAUUAGUACUUUAAAAAAAAAAAUUAGUACUUUUCUUUUCUUGUCUGACGAUUACUUUGUCAAUAUGCUUACUUAUAUUCUGGUUUGUUGUAAUAAGUCUAUGAUCUGUUUCCUCA
This is a non-coding RNA of Camelina sativa (false flax), 933 nucleotides long. The record is from RefSeq and is a predicted model, not a curated record. NCBI's taxonomy places the organism in Eukaryota, Viridiplantae, Streptophyta, Magnoliopsida, Brassicales, Brassicaceae.